CCUUGUCGGGUAAGUUCCGACCUGCACGAAUGGAGUAACGACUUGGGCGCUGUCUCAACCGUGGACUCGGCGAAAUUGCACUACGAGUAAAGAUGCUCGUUACGCGCGGCAGGACGGAAAGACCCCG
RNAcentral lists this ribosomal RNA (127 nucleotides) under Nocardioides marmotae. RNAcentral describes it as "partial 23S ribosomal RNA". It matches the Rfam family "Bacterial large subunit ribosomal RNA", at positions 1967 to 2093 of the family's 2925-position model. The record is from RNAcentral. Lineage: Bacteria; Bacillati; Actinomycetota; Actinomycetes; Propionibacteriales; Nocardioidaceae.